Bactrocera neohumeralis is the source of this 6134-nucleotide long non-coding RNA. RefSeq lists it as uncharacterized. The record is from RefSeq and is a predicted model, not a curated record. The transcript has 2 exons. Lineage: Eukaryota; Metazoa; Arthropoda; Insecta; Diptera; Tephritidae.
GACGAUUCUGGCGGUCAAGCGGCUUCAGUUCUUGCGUCAAUUUGAUCUUGCCAAGAUAUGUUGGCAAAAUUCGUUACAACGACGUCACAGAGAUGCCCAACGCUUGAGAACGGCGUGUGAGAGGCUAAUUUGUGUCUUCCUCAAUUGAUGAGCUAGCGGCAGCAAUAUCCUCGACACUAUGGGCACUUCUUUAUCUCACUGGCACAGUAACAUUUUUUCUUGAUUCAUUAUUCUUUGGCCACUAUUUGUUCAGAAUCCUGAUCCACUUGUUAUGUAUUCAUGUAUUUUAAUUCUUAUGAGACUACUGCAGACGAUUCUUCCAAAAAAAAUGGAUAUUUUAAAGCUUGAAGUUUGGAAUGUUAAAAAUAAUUGCCUCUACGACUUUGUCGUGCGCUAAACCAAAACAUUUACAGCGCUUUCGACAAAUCAAGAUUUUCUUCGACUACAAUUACAAAAACUUUGUACGCAAAGUAAUCAUAUUGAGCAAGCACUGGGGCAGCAGCUGCAAUAGUUAUUCCAGUAAAAACACUUCUCGCUGGCUCAAAUUGUUUUUAACAUGCCGAGCCACACAAAAUCUUCAUUUUAUUAACACAUGUUAUAUUUUGUUGAUCGCCAUCAAUAUGACUGCUCCAACGGUAUUAAAUUUGACAAGAAAACUGACAACUCCAAUAAAAGUAGCAUUUACCGACCAAAUUCAAUUUACCAUUCAAAUUAAAUGUAUUUCGACUUGCCAACCACAAGACAAGCACUAACAAAUUUUCAAAUUCAACUAAAUCCAUGCAUACAUAUACAAUAAAUAAGAUACAAAUUUAUAUACAUACAUAUAUAAAAUAGAUUAAAAUAAAUAAGCUAUACAAACAUUGCCAUUAAUACAGUUAAGCACAUCAUAAAUAAAUAACCACUGAACAAUAAACAAUAAGAAGCAAAUACAACAAACAAUACUUGAAAUACAAAUUUUGCAGUAAACAUAUAGUUCAAUUCAAGUUCAUACAAAGUAUAGAAAUGUAAGAUCAACUACAUAUUUAUAACUUAAUCAAAUGAGCGUAUAAAGAUCUAUUUUUUGUAAGUUAGCCAGCUAAGCCGUAUUUAUACAAAAAACUAAACUAAAAAAUUCCCAAAUACAAACAAAUUAAUUCAGUAAAAAAAUAUAUAAAUGAAACUUGUAAAACAUCACCAAAUUUACGGCGAUUAUUUUUCUACUAACAAACGUGCAAACCGUGAAUAAACAAAAUAGUCUAUAAUGUAAAAUUUUGACAAGAGUGUACUGAGCACAAACGACUAAGUACAUACUAUAUAAGUGUUUGUAUGUUUGUGCUGUGGAAAUUUCAUAAAAAGCAACACACGGUCAUGAAUAAAUGCGCUUCAAAGUGCCGAACGUGUUGUUGUUUCCAUGUAAGAGAGCCAUCAAACUAUAUAAUUAAUAAUACAUAACAGACUUACAUACAUACACGCAUAUAACAAAAUGCGAAUUAAAGUUCAAACACUUAUUUCAAGUGACAGCAAAGAUUUGUUCAAAUUAAUUGCAUUUGACUCAGCAGCGCUCAUAAUUAACUUGUAUAACAAUAAAAUAAAACACUAACACACUAAUAAGUUACAAAUGCUGCAAAAUAAAUACAUUUAUAGACUUCGUAAAAGAAUACUCCUUGCAAAGAGUUUUUGCUAAAUCACAUUCGUGGUCAACAAAUAAUCAAGCGUAUUUCAGUAUACUUAGAUAUAACUACAAUAAAUACGAUUAACUGAUAGAUCACUGAAUAAUAACCAAUAUAACAGACAAUUUUUAUAUAUAACGUAACUAAUAGAGUCAAUCCUAAAAAUACAAAGGUAUAAACAUUUAAGGGAACUUUUUUUUAUAAUAGCAGUUUUUCAGUAUCAUAAAUAAUACUUUUUUAGGAGGGAUAAAAUUUCAAACUUUUUUGCGAGCAAAUCAUCUAUUAACAUAACUUUUCAUAAAACUACAUAAAAAUAAAUUUCUUUUAUCUUAAUUUUGAAGCUUUCAAAGUGUCAUGAAAUAAUCGAGAACUAGUUAAACCAUGAUUCAAUAAUAUAGUAAAGGUUGUGGUGAUAGCCCAAAAAUAAGAAUUUCUCAGAAAUGUUUUAACUAAAAAUGUCAAAAUCAGUUUUUGCUUUGUUUUUAUAAUUCGAAAAUAAGUUUUUCAACGCUCCAACCAGAAGGUUGUGUCAAUAGCCCAAAAACAACAAUUUGUGAAAAUUAAUUGGAACCAUAAUGUCAAAAUCAGCCGUUUUCUUUUGUAUUGUUCUGUCUUUACCAUGAAUCAAUUAUAGAAAGUUACGUCGAUAUGGAGCGUGCUUCCUCUUACGACAGCAAUGAUUGUAUCCAUAAUAUCAAAAUUAGUUGCUUUUUGUCCUUCUCAUGAUUUUUCAGAAUUUGAUGCUUUUGGGUAAUUUACAAUCUAUUCGCAUUCAGUUAUCACUCAAUAAAGGCCUUUUCAUUGGUUGAAAAUUAAAAAAAAAAUUAUUUCUGAAGUAUAAAAAAACAAAAAACAAUACAAAAACAAACGGCUGAUUUUGACAAUUAUUUUUGACAAUUUGUUGUUUUUAGGCUAUCGACGCAGCCUUGAAUAAUUGAAUCAUGGUUUUUAUGAUUCAAGAAAUAAAUUGCACAGCAAUACAGUGUGAACCUCCCUUUAAUUACAUAUAAAAACAUAAAGACGUUAGCAAAAUAGAAAACCAUGAAAUUCGAAAACGUUUAGAUGUACGAAGGCAAAUACAUGCGAAAAGUACAAAUUGUGCUUUAAAUUGAUGAAUCACUUGAUAUGAUAUAUUUAGAAAAACCAGAAAGAAUAUAAAAAAGAAGUUUGUUCACUGAAAAUAGUUAAAGUUUACAACAAAAUGAUUUAUUGCUGGACCAUGGACUUACAUACAUUACAUACGCUCAAAUCAUACACGCUAUACAUAUUUCACCUUGAAUCAGCUAGCGACUGGAAAGAAAAUGGAAAAUAAAAGCUUCUAGGCGCUUCCAUUUAAACUUUCGUGAAACAAAAUAAUAACACUUGCAUUCCUUUAUAACAACUUGCCAUACACAUGCGUAGGUUCUUCACAACAACUUUUUAAUAUAAAAUGCACUUACUUUUUUAGACAUCUUUCAUCAAUUUCAUUACCUGCAUUUUGCUUGAAACUGAUCUUUAAAACUUUUCAAUGCGUGACUCAUCUAAAUAUAAUAUACUUACUAUAGAUAAAAAACUACUACUUACAUUUCCUUCGCUUCUUGAGCUAUCCAGCGAUCUCAGCGGAACAAAGAUCAUUUGAAUUAAUUAAUCACUAAUUUUACCACUUCUGAUACCGUAACAAAACUUUUAAUAUGUUCUCAAAUAAAUACGGUGAGUUGCCUAAAACCUGAGUUUCACACAAUAUCGAAUCAAGCAAGCACACUAGACACUGUUUUCGUAAGCACGCUCAUCAAACGGAAUCAUUUUCAUUUGUAUUUGAUUGAUGUGUAAUUAAUAUAAAGUAAUUAAGCGAAAAUGUAAUCUAAAAAUAAAAUAAAGUUAAAGUAAACAACAACAAAGAAAUUAAAUGAACUCAGGGAUAGAGCCUCCAAAAAUUUAAUAAAUAAAAGACAUGCAAUAUUUUAGCAAAAAACAAAGGAAAAAAAAAACAAAAACCAAAACAAAAAUAUAAUAAUUGCUUAUACGAAAUUUUAAAUUUAACAAAUUUUAACGAGAAUGAAAAUAUAUGUCUAAAAUACUUGAAAUAACAAAACGUAAAAAUUCAAAAAGAAAAACUGAAAGCACCGGAAGAAACUAUAAAACCAUUUAAUUGAUAUAAAAGUUUAAAUAUGUAGUAAGCAGAUAGAACUUAAAAGUAAAAAAAACAACUCAAGCAUAUUUGAAAGCGUCAAACAAAAUACGAACAAAGCUUACAUAUGAAAUUAAAACAUUUUAAACAAUUUCACACACACAAAAUUUUGCACAAUACUUAUUAAAUAAUUUAUGUACUCUUGUAUGGCAAACAAAAAACUUAAAAAAAGUCAAAACAGAUUUAUUGUAAUUUGAACUACAAAUCUUGUUUUGCUUUAAAAUAUUUUCAAUUUUUUGUGAUAAAAUAGAUAAUGUAUGUAUACAUUCGUAUAACUACUACAAUGUAACUUAACUCUUUUGGUAUAUAUUCGGAUAGGAACCAAAAACAAAAAAUAAGUUGUAGAAGUUUGUGUUUGGGGCUUAAAAGUGAUACGAUAGAAUUUUGCAAGGUGUUUACGGUUUUUGUUGCUGUUGCUGAAUGACAGUAGUAGUGCAGUUUACUUUAAUCAUGCAUAACCAUGUGCCACCUGCAACUUAAAAUAUUGAGGUAUAAGAAAUACUACAUAAAGCAGUGGCAGCAUUGCCGUUAGUAAGCCUAGUAGGUUUCAGUGAUGAUUAUAAAUACAUAUUACGGUAACCGUUAUUACCCUAGUUGAUUUUCUUUUUUUUUACAAACGCUCCCUGAAGCUUCAGCAUUUGCUCUAAAAACCCAAACAAAGCUCUUUAUUUUCAAUAUGAACGUUGGCUAAGCUAUUUUAUUUUUAUCAAACAUUUAAUUUAUUGAUCUUUUGGAAUAAUUUUUGUUCUUAUCUCCCAGGCAAAUAAACCUACAGAACAUGAUAUUUUCAUACAAUAUUUUCCAUUCUGAAAACUUCUUCAAAAAGGUCUCAUUAAUUUUUUGUGAAACCAUUUCUUUAAAAGUUAUACGCAGUUAAGUUAGUACACCAUGUCGUAUGAGCGACACAGAAUGUAUACAUAAAUUCAUACGGUGCACCAUGUCGUAUGAGUGACACAGAAUGUAUACAUAAAUCACUUGUAUGAAUGCUUAGGUCAUUGGACUAACACAAUACAUAUACCAUGCUUGUUGCUUUUUUAGCUUUUUUCACGUUUAUAUUGUAAACUAUUAUUUGACAAAAAUAUGUCAAUAUGUUAAAUGUACAAUUUUAGGUUUAAAAAUGCUUUUACACCAUACUGCUAGUCCAUUAGUUGCCUUCAAUAACUUUUAAUUUUGGUUUUUGGUUAUAAUACGCUGAUUUCAGCGUUAAAUAAGACACCUUUAAGAUAAUGUCUACACAUAUUGUGUUAGGAAUGUUUAGACUUUACAAAAUAUCUAUAAUUUUGUUUGCAUUAAUUUUACUCUCCUACUUGCUAUAAUAUAAAGUAGUUUAAAUAAUUUUUACGUUUGAGCAAACAGUUGUAAGGUUAGAAAGUAGUUGGAUGGCAAAAUUGAUAACAAUCGGUAUGAAAGAUAAUAUUUUUGUAAACGACCUGAAAUGAGUAGUUUAUUUUUAUAUGCAGAAAGAUAUAGGGUGUAGCGUAUGGCGAGUGCGUCAUGACCUUGAUCAGGUUUUCAAAUAUUAAUAUAUAUGUAGGUAUGUAAUAGUAAGCUGCGAACAAAAGACGACUUGGUAGUACGUAGUAGGAUUAAAAAAAACUAUUUUUAUGAAAAUAUGGACUGUAAAAUCAAACGAUAUGGAAGAAUGAAAUAUUUGAUGCUCGCCACUAGGAAAACCAGUGAGCAUAUGAAAUACUUGUAUUAUUGUAAAGAAAUGCAUGCAUACGAGUACAUAAGUACAUAUUGGUUAAAUGAAUAUUCACGAAAAAUAUAAAAAUUAAAUUCACUUUACAGCAGCUGUUUUUCACUUAUUAAAUUAGAAAUGAAAAUUUUGAAAAAAAUUUAAUAUUAUAAAAGAUAGUUUACGACAAUGGUGAUAUAGUAUUGGUGUAGCAACAAUUACAUAAUAAAUUCUUCAAUUGGACUCACUCAGAAAAACCAGCAACGUUUAUGAAGCAUAGUAAUUAGAAAUUAUGAGGAAGUAAGCAGACUUGCAUACAAGCAAGUAAACGGAAGGCGCGUAUUUAUUUGACAGCAAUGAGGAUACUGAAAUAUGUUUAGGAUGAUGCAUAUAUUAUAAUUCUUAAACUUAUUAACUUAACAAAUUACUUCAAAGUAUUUCAUAAAAAUGAAAGGUGUGUAUAAUGUAAGGCAAAUGAUAUAAUAAUGAGCAUAUAAAUAAUUACACAAAAGAAUUGAGCGAAACAAGCUAAUGUGCGAUAUUGUACUAAAUUAUGAAUAACUUUGUACUUGAAUUAAUAUUUUAUUUAAACUUAAGUCAAGAUAUUCAAAUAAAAUAUAAUCAUUUCAAUUCAAAUAUA